This 654-nucleotide long non-coding RNA is filed under the name Panax ginseng (ginseng). Its description in RNAcentral is "long non-coding RNA (PGIN_LNC014044)". Lineage: Eukaryota; Viridiplantae; Streptophyta; Magnoliopsida; Apiales; Araliaceae. The record is from RNAcentral.
AGAAAUUUAGUUAAGGUUUGAGGCGGAGUUGGUGACGUAAGCAUUGCCCACCGGUCGCGGAGGAGGAGGUAUUCGGGUUUGGGAGAGGGGUGAGGAAGAGGUGGCGGCCCGUGCGGAGGUCGUAGGAGGCGAGGGCGAAGAAGGGAGGAGAGGAUGGAGAGUGGACGACGACGUUGGUGUUUGACAACCGCGAUGCCGAGGAUGGUGGUGGGAAAAGGGAGGGAGGAAUCGGAGUUGACGGUAUCGACAACGACUGCGUCGGAGAUAGACUGGAGGAGUGGGUGGCGGAGGGAGCUAACGAUGAAGUGUUGGGAGGAUGGGUCCCAAGUGAGGGAAUAACAGUUUUAUAGAUCUAGAUCUAUAACAAGAACAUGAACAUGAAUAUGAUCCUUCUCCGAGUCUGACCAGCACCAGCGCCGCCUCCUUCGACAGAAGCCCAAGAACCCCAGACACCUACUAAUUUGAGUUCAUUAAGCAUCUGUUUCAGGUAUUAAUAGCUCUGCUUCAGAUCCUAUUUUAGUGACAAGUACUGGUCAAGAUGUUCCAAAUAGCAGUCAAGCAGCCUCCGGAGUUGUUAAGUCCCCCAAUGAAACAAAAUCGAAAAUAUCACAGGGCGUUGAGAAGGAUAUGCGUAGUAUUUUAAUUUUAUUUUUG